AUUAGGGCCAGUCUGGGUCGCUAGUGUAGGGAAUUACUUGGUGGGGGUUUUAUUCCUGUUAUGAUUCCGUGUUCCGUGUUCCAUGUUUUAUUACGAAUCUGUGUGCUUUCCUCUGCCUUCCUCUGCUUUCCUCUGUUUUAUAAUACUUAUGGGUGCCGUAUUUAUGUUAUGUAAUCUGCUUCUGUGCUUUACUAUGUGUUUGUGUGGUAUCUCGUGCCUUGAGCUGGGGGUCUUUCGGAAACAGCCUUUCUACUUCAUCAGAGGUAGAGGUAUGGACUGCGUACAUCUUACCCCCCCAGACCCCACUAGGUGGGAAUACACUGGGUUUGUUGUUGUUGUUGUUGUUGUUGUCUACUUCACAACAUAUUAAUGCUUUCAGUAAGUGAUGAUACAGUAGUUUUGAUAACUGAAGCUGAGCUUAAAAGAAAGUAUAUCAGUUAUGAACCUUUCAAGAAAGACAACCCCAUCUAAUCAAUGUAAGAAUAACCUGGAUUGACCAUUAAGAGAUUACCUGCAUCCUCUUUUCUUGAAAAUUCUUCCCGGUAAUUUUAUCUUUCGAAGAGCCAGGUUGCUGCAAAAAAAGGGGAAAACUCAAAAUCUGCAUGCAUGAAAUGGUCCACAAUGUAAAUAUUUACUUAUUUCAAUGAUCAGAUGAAAGUGAAGCAAAGAGGAAGAAUGAGAUGGAAAUCAUGUCAAAGCAACCAAUAACAGUUGCAUUCAUUAUUACAAAUGUCCAUUUUCUUUGACAAAAGGAGCUACAUGGGAACACCAGUGCCAUGCGAAAGAAGAAUCAUCAUAUCUAGGCAAAAGACAUACACCUAAAGACAUAAAAAUCCACCAAAUGGAGUGGACACAACAUGUUUAUCACUAUCACUUAUCAAAUACAGCAUGUGAAUCACUCCUACUCAAUUGCCGAAACCAUAGAUGGAAGAUCAAAAGAAGGAUUAGUUCAGCCCGACCGAGAAGAAUCAUGCAGUCAGUCAAGGUUAGCAGCACACUACUAUGUGUCUAAACCAUGAUACCAAAAGGAUAGGUAUGGAACUUAAGAAGUCAGACAUUUUAGCAUCCACACUAGCCAAAAUUAGACCCAACUAUCAUCAAACAGUUAAAAACAACACUGUCAAAUGGAUAAAUGAAUCACAUUAACUGCGAGUUCAUUAACAGUAAAGGCAUCAACAUUCUAACCCGAAAAGGGCAUGGCAUGAGUAUCCCAAAGAGAUCAUCUCGAACAUCACUGAAAUCCAUAGAAUACAUUGCAUUUUUGAGUCCAUGAGAAGCCAAAUACUCUUCAGAUUGCUUAGCCAGGUGAUAGCCUUUAUAAACACUUAUAGCUGGUUCACCAACCUGAAAAAUCAGAAAACAGAUACCUUUCAAUACUAUUACCUGUACUCAAUCAAUCAAGCUUCAACCUUUACACAAAAGGUAAAGUAAACAUACAGAAGAUCGUAGCAGCGCCUGUAAAUCACUCAGAUUCUUAUAGACCGCGAUCACAUCCCCUUUACGGACAACAUAAAAAGCAUCCUUUUCGUCCCCCAUCUAUGUUUCAAAUUCCUCAAGUUACUCCACCACUGUAUCAACACAAGCAAAGAGUAUAUUACCUACAGAAAAACAAAUACAAUUCCAAAUUCUACUCCAAACAACUCAAUUCCGCUCACUGAACAAAUUUACAGACUACAUAUUACCCUUGCAUGUAUGAUCAGUGUACUUAAUACAGUACAAAUGAUACUCAAUUACUAUAUAAUUUAGGGCUUUUUUUGUAUUUUUUUUUUUAGUUAAAAACCGUAUUUUAGGCACGAAAUAAAAGAAUUAGGGUUUCCGAGAACGUGUAGAAAAGAGAAAGAAAUACAAUUCUUACCGACUAGAGGAGGAGGAGAGACAAGUGUAACGGAGUUUCUGUCAGUUUCGUUAGUCCCGACUAACCUGUCAGCUGGUUUUCACCCGACCCGAAAAUGCAUGUUUGGGCUGCUUCGCGGGAUUUGGGGCACGUGUCUUUCCGGUCCAAUAAAUAAAUAUUAGAGCGUUUUACUUCACACAAAUUUAUGGAGAAAAUAAAAAAAAAAAUUGGAAUUUAAUGCUUAGAAAUUAGGGAUAAAAAUGUAAUUUUGAAAGCCUCUCUCAUAAGUCAAAAUUUAAUGUUUAAUUAUAUAGCAUGUCAUUCGGAGAAUUGUUAUUUACAUACAGCCUUUCCUAUACAGUUGUGUUAAACUUGAGCAGACACAUUUAAUUACACUUAGUUAAUUAGGUGGAACUCAACAUCAUACUAAACAAGUAGAUUUUACUCGUUUAUAAUGUUCAAUUGGAAAAGCUUCCCCAUCAAAAGAAAAAUUAUUUAAAUAAUGUUUCAAAAUAUAGUGAUUGCUUUCAUAUACGCAUACUUAUAAUUUUCUGUGAUUUAAUGUCCAAUAGGGUAAUAAUGUGCCAGUGGGACAUAGAGUAGCUGUGUAAUUGUGAUGCUUAUCUUAGUUCAUAGUGAAGCAGCAGACUCAAAACUCACUUGUAAGCCAACUAAUUUUAACUUGUCAUACUGGACAACAGUACAAGUUACGCAGAGGUUUCAAUGUGCUAGAACACUACUUUAAAGGAAGAAACCUGCCACUUGUCCCCCAACCAAUUUUCUUUGCAAAUCAGGUUACAGCAAAAGCUACUCCAAUCUGGAUACAUAAUUAGGUUGAAUGCACAUAAUUCAGAUCAUAUAUCUACAUGUUACAAGACAUGGUUUUAGACCACUGAAAAACCAUUGCAUCGUCUGUCUAGAGGGGUCAUUCAUCCUUCCAAAAAUCUCAACAAGUUGAGGUAGUUGGUCAACAUUAUUAAGUUAUCAUGUCACAUUCCACUUGAAUUUCGCCAUCUGCAAGAAAAGUAAAAGUUUCUCGUCAGAUUUCUUACAGGAAAAGAUAAUUUAUUUAAGCACAAGAGAAAGACCCUUACUCUUGAGAUAAACAGCUAAAUUUGCCUGCGCAUCGGCUUCAGUGUUGGAUUCCUGAUAUGUUAAACAAGUAAAGCCCUCGGAAUCGGAUGAAAAGAUAGCUUUUAAUGACUUAGAAGAAAGGAACAAUUAUUUGUAUAGUAAAUAUGUAGCAAGUAAAAUCCUGAACUCUUCAUGAAGAGGAAUGCAGAACAAAGUGAAAAUGAUAGACUGGGGAAACAUAAUUAUUCACUUCUAGCAACAAGGUGAUAAUGCCAAUUUCAUGGAGCUCAUAAGCAAGAAAGAGAAACUCUAUAUUGCAUAAAUUAAACAUGAAAUUCAAGCUCCCGUUUGGUCACAGGGGAGAAAUACACACAUAAUUCCAUUUUUAUCACAAAAAUAACAUGCAGAUGCAAAGAUAUAGUGACUUAGAAAAUCUAAAUUCUGAUAGAGAAGCUCAGUAAGCUCUGAAUUAGCAAAUGGGAGAAGUUGGCCAUACUCUGUCCAUAUGGUUGAUUUGGAAUGACAUAAACUGAUCUUUAAGCUCUUUGACAAUCUUGGAUAGCUCAGCCAUAUUCUGGUUCUUACAUUUCCAGAUUCCUUGAGUCUGUUCCAUGAUAGAAAUUAGUAAAGAAUGAGGGAUCGGCCCAGAAGCACUUCCAGCAAAAACUUACACUAAAUGCAAUAUAAUAAAAUAGCACUGCAAGAGCACAUAUGAUCUCCGCAAAAGAUCACAUAAGUUGCAAGGGGAAGAAUAGCUUCACUUUUGAACUGAUUUAGGUGUCUCUUAGGAUGGAGUGGGUGAGGUAUCAUCAUGAAGACAAUCUUAUACCGACCCAUUAUUUCUAUAGAAGUAGGUAGCCUGAAUAUGUCUCAAAUCUGUAGUCUUUAUACUCAAUCCUAAACCUGUCCUGUAAAAUGUCUUAGGUAUUCUGCAACAAUCAAAUAAAAACCAAAAUACAAGAUACGCAAAAUUAAGUUUCUUAAAAUAAUUGUUAACCUACACCUUUAUUCUCCGGCAUUCAAAUUGGGAUGUUGAGAAGCAAGAUCGCAACAAUGUGGAGAGCCAUAUUGCUCGCUUGCUGCUGCUCAUCUUCUACGCCACAGCAUCUAUUUAGUUACAUUCAGGCAAUUGAUCUAUUCUUUUUCUUUUAAUUACUUUUUAAUAUCUUUUAAGGUUGUUUCCAAUGCUUUACCACUUUCCUAAUGAACAAAGAGGCCGUCCACCGUACGAACCUUCAUUUAGUUUGUACCUAAUGUAACUGCCAGCUUCCUCUUCUUUUCAUCAUUCUCUUUCCAUGUACAUUGCUUUAAUUUAGAUGCCAGACUACAUCUCAUUUUGGUACUUGUACAUAUAUUAAAUUAUGGUCUAUAGUCUAGAAUGCCUAUUACUUUGUGCACAAUUUCCACUUCUAAUUUAAUUUUGAUGCUUUUUUCUCGUGUUAUAUAUGAUCAUAUUCAUGGAUGCUGCAAUGAUAAAAGUGGUGUCACAAGCAUGAGCAUUGAAAUACUACUUUUUUUCUAUUUGUCAAAUUUCAAAUGGGCUUAAUUUUGAGCUCAACCAUCAAGUCUCUUACAAAGUGUCACAUUCAUGAAUCUUUUACUGAAUUAAUUUUUCUUUUGUUACUCAAAAACAAUAACAAGAUACCCAGUGUAAUCCCACAAGUAGAGUCUAGAAAGGGUAGAGUGUACGCAAACCUUACCCCUACCUUGUGGAGGUAGAGAGGUUGUUUCAGAAAUACAAGAUAGAUUUGGAUGCUAUCUUUUGUUACUCCACCAUUUUUCAAUAAUUUUAUGUGAUUAUGCAAAAUCUUAUUCUAGAUUUUGUGGAGGCAAACUCUUGAGUCUAAAGGGUUCAGGGUGAGCAGAAGCAAGACAGAGUAUGUGGAAUGCAAGUUUAAUGACGUGAGGCAGGAGAAUGAGGUAGUAGUGAAGCUGGAAUCACAGGAGGUAUGUAAGAGGGAUAGUUUCAAGUAUCUCGGGUCCGUGAUCUAGAGUAACGGUGAGAUUGACGAGGAUGUCUCGCACCGUAUUGGGGCGGGAUGGAUGAAGUGGAAGCUCGCGUCGGGGGUGUUGUGUGAUAAGAAGGUGCCGCCCAAGCUGAAAGGCAAAUUCUACAGGGUGGUAGUCCGUCCGGCCAUGUUGUAUGGAGCGUUGGCCAGUUAAGAACUCCCACAUCCAAAAAAUGAAGGUGGCAGAAAUGCGGAUGUUGCGCUGGAUGUGUGGGCUGACCAGAGGGAUGCGGGAAUCCCGAUUGAGAUGGUUCGGACACGUGAAGAGGAGGGGCAUCCGGUUCGUAGGUGUGAGAGGCUAGCGUUGGAUGGUUUUAGGCGGGGGAGGGGUAGGCCGAAGAAGUACUGGGGUGAGGUGAUUAGGCGGGACAUGGAGCAGUUACAGCUCACCGAGGACAUGACCCUAGAUAGGAAGGUCUGGAGGACGCGAAUUAGGGCAGAAGACUAGGGCCGGUUUGGGUCGCUAGUAUAGGGAAUUACUUGGUGGGGGUUUUAUUCUUGUUAUGAUUCCGUGUUCCAUGUUUUAUUACGAAUCUGUGUGCUUUCCUCGGUUUUCUAAUACUUAUGGGUGCCGUAUUUAUGUUAUGUAAUCUAGUUCUGUGCUGUACUAUGAGUUUGUGUGGUAUCUCGUGACUUGAGCCGGGGGUCUAUCGGAAACAGCCUUUCUACUUCUUUAGAGGUAGAGGUAUGGACUGCGUACAUCUUACCCCCCCAGACCCCACUAGGUGGGAAUACACUGGGUUUGUUGUUGUUGUUGUUGUUAUUCUAGAUAAUUUGAGAUACACGUGCAACACGUGUCCAAAACUAAUUAGUUAAAAACAGUGUCCCAUUAUUUGGAAUAGUUGGUGCAGAGGGUUUAAUGAGUACGUUUCUGAAACUCUCAAUGGCUAGCACAUCAUGUGAAAAAGCUAUUCCACAAUUGCUUUAGAACUCAGUGGCUUCAACAAAUUAGCAAAGAUAAAUUUGACAGGAUAUUUAAAGUGAGAAGGCGGAAAAUUUGACAAAUUUGCUAAAGGGAAAAUGAAAAUAAAACAAAAACAAAAAAGCAGA
Molecule: long non-coding RNA, 5967 nt
Filed under: Capsicum annuum
Lineage: Eukaryota; Viridiplantae; Streptophyta; Magnoliopsida; Solanales; Solanaceae
Description: long non-coding RNA (CANN_LNC003838)
Source: RNAcentral